GAUGAACGCUGGCGGCGUGCCUAAUACAUGCAAGUCGAGCGAACAGACGAGGAGCUUGCUCCUCUGACGUUAGCGGCGGACGGGUGAGUAACACGUGGAUAACCUACCUAUAAGACUGGGAUAACUUCGGGAAACCGGAGCUAAUACCGGAUAUAUAUUGAACCGCAUGGUUCAAUAGUGAAAGGAGGUUUUGCUGUCACUUAUAGAUGGAUCCGCGCCGCAUUAGCUAGUUGGUAAGGUAACGGCUUACCAAGGCAACGAUGCGUAGCCGACCUGAGAGGGUGAUCGGCCACACUGGAACUGAGACACGGUCCAGACUCCUACGGGAGGCAGCAGUAGGGAAUCUUCCGCAAUGGGCGAAAGCCUGACGGAGCAACGCCGCGUGAGUGAUGAAGGUCUUCGGAUCGUAAAACUCUGUUAUUAGGGAAGAACAAAUGUGUAAGUAACUAUGCACGUCUUGACGGUACCUAAUCAGAAAGCCACGGCUAACUACGUG
This 496-nucleotide ribosomal RNA is filed under the name uncultured bacterium. RNAcentral describes it as "partial 16S ribosomal RNA". It matches the Rfam family "Bacterial small subunit ribosomal RNA", at positions 28 to 507 of the family's 1533-position model. The record is from RNAcentral.